RNAcentral lists this ribosomal RNA (481 nucleotides) under uncultured bacterium. RNAcentral describes it as "partial 16S ribosomal RNA". It matches the Rfam family "Bacterial small subunit ribosomal RNA", at positions 30 to 506 of the family's 1533-position model. The record is from RNAcentral.
AUUGAACGCUGGCGGCAUGCCUUACACAUGCAAGUCGAACGGUAACGGGCCUUCGGGUGCCGCCGAGUGGCGAACGGGUGAGUAAUACAUCGGAACGUGCCCGAUCGUGGGGGAUAACGAGGCGAAAGCUUUGCUAAUACCGCAUACGAUCUACGGAUGAAAGCAGGGGACCGCAAGGCCUUGCGCGGACGGAGCGGCCGAUGGCAGAUUAGGUAGUUGGUGGGAUAAAAGCUUACCAAGCCGACGAUCUGUAGCUGGUCUGAGAGGAUGAUCAGCCACACUGGGACUGAGACACGGCCCAGACUCCUACGGGAGGCAGCAGUGGGGAAUUUUGGACAAUGGGCGCAAGCCUGAGCCAGCCAUGCCGCGUGCAGGAUGAAGGCCUUCGGGUUGUAAACUGCUUUUGUACGGAACGAAAAGCCUUCUUUUAAUACAGGAGGGUCAUGACGGUACCGUAAGAAUAAGCACCGGCUAACUACGU